RNAcentral lists this ribosomal RNA (253 nucleotides) under uncultured bacterium. RNAcentral's name for it is "partial 16S ribosomal RNA". It matches the Rfam family "Bacterial small subunit ribosomal RNA", at positions 524 to 776 of the family's 1533-position model. The record is from RNAcentral.
UACGUAGGCAGCAAGCGUUGUUCGGAAUUAUUGGGCGUAAAGCGCUGGUAGGUGGUUCUUUAAGUCGCGUGUGAAAGCUCCAGGCUCAACCUGGAAAGGGCGCGCGAAACUGGGGAACUUGAGUGCCGGAGAGGGUCGCGGAAUUCCCGGUGUAGAGGUGAAAUUCGUAGAUAUCGGGAGGAACACCAGAGGCGAAGGCGGCUUACUGGUCCGGAACUGACGCUGAGACGCGAAAGCGUGGGGAGCAAACAGG